GCCGCCGUCGCCGGAAUCCGGAUUUCAACCAAAAUUUCCAGAUUUUCUCCUCUUCCUUCCCUCUUUCCAUUUCUCCAACCAAAAUCAUGAAAUUUAGCCAUUUAAUCCCCCAAAAACCCUAGAACCCGAAGCUAAAAUUGGGGCUUUUGUGAUUUCUUCUUUCCAAGCUCAAAUCAAGGCUAUGGGUUUGGCAAGGAUUUUUGGUGAAGAAGGCCAAGGAGAAGGUAUAUGACGUGAUUUUUGAAGAAGAAAGGGAAACACGAUCGUUAAGGAAGUUUAAGCGGGAAGUAUCAGAGUGUGGAAUACGCCGGCAUAUUCCAGGUUACAACUAGGUCAUUCUGGACGAUUUGGAUUAGAGGUGGGUCGUUGGCCGAGUCCGUGUGUUGCUGUUCCUGUUG
Molecule: long non-coding RNA, 398 nt
Filed under: Rosa chinensis
Lineage: Eukaryota; Viridiplantae; Streptophyta; Magnoliopsida; Rosales; Rosaceae
Description: sRNA RchiOBHm_Chr2g0154201
Source: RNAcentral